CUCUCAAACUAAGGGCAACAGUGUUGCUCAGAUCCAAGUCUGGAUAAAGUCUUUUGACUGCAUCCCUGUCGUCUUCAUAACCAAUGCAGUAAGAGACGUAUCUGCCCUCGAGGACUUCAUUUUUGAAAUCUUGUGAUUCUCUGAAAUCCUCAAUGGCCUGACUCAAAGUGCCUUUCGCCGACUGUGCUUCCUCCUUUGC
RNAcentral lists this long non-coding RNA (199 nucleotides) under Elaeis guineensis (African oil palm). RNAcentral describes it as "long non-coding RNA (EGUI_LNC061507)". The record is from RNAcentral. Lineage: Eukaryota; Viridiplantae; Streptophyta; Magnoliopsida; Arecales; Arecaceae.